GCCACGUCUUCACAGAGCAGGUAGAGCUGAGUCGCUUGAUUCAAUGAAUGAUGAAGCUCAGCACUCAGAGACAAAGGACACAACAAGAGGGGUGACUGAAACAAAGUCUGCAUCAACUGCAAGCAAAGACAACAAAGACAAAAUGGAGCCUGAGCUCACACUUGUGUUAAUCGGUGAUACUAAGUCCAUUGAGAUUGGACCAGGAAACAUUUUACUUGAACAUGACGAGCCGACAAAUAUGGAGCAUUUUUCCUCC
This is a long non-coding RNA of Mugil cephalus (flathead mullet), 256 nucleotides long. RefSeq lists it as uncharacterized. The transcript has 3 exons. The record is from RefSeq and is a predicted model, not a curated record. NCBI's taxonomy places the organism in Eukaryota, Metazoa, Chordata, Actinopteri, Mugiliformes, Mugilidae.